GGCUCGUUGGUCUAGGUGUAUGAUUCUUGCUUAGGGUGCUAGAGGUCCUGGUUUCAAAUCCCGGAUGAGCCC
Danionella cerebrum is the source of this 72-nucleotide non-coding RNA. Lineage: Eukaryota; Metazoa; Chordata; Actinopteri; Cypriniformes; Danionidae. The record is from the annotation of a GenBank genome assembly.